RNAcentral lists this ribosomal RNA (497 nucleotides) under uncultured bacterium. Its description in RNAcentral is "partial 16S ribosomal RNA". It matches the Rfam family "Bacterial small subunit ribosomal RNA", at positions 28 to 507 of the family's 1533-position model. The record is from RNAcentral.
GAUGAACGCUGGCGGCGUGCCUAAUACAUGCAAGUCGAGCGAACGGACGAGAAGCUUGCUUCUCUGAUGUUAGCGGCGGACGGGUGCGUAACACAUGGCUAACCUAACUAUUAGACUUGGAUAAUUUCGGGAAACCGGAGCUAAUACCGGAUAAUUUUUUGAACCGCAAGGUUCCACAGUGAAAGACGGUGUUGCUGUCACUUAUAGAUAGAUCCGCGCUGCAUUAGCUAGUUGGUAAGGUAACGGCUUACCAAGGCAACGAUGCAUAGCCGACCUGACAGGGUGAACGGCCACACGGGAAGUGAGACACGGUCCACACUCUGGCGGGGGGCAGCAGUAGGGAAUCUUACGCAAUGGGCGAGAGCCUGACGGAGCGACGCCGCGUGAGGGAUGAAGGUCUUAGGAUCGUAAAACGCUGUUAUUAGGGAAGAAGAUAUGUGUAAGUAACUGGGCACAUCUUGACGGUACCUAAUCAGAAAGCCACGGCUAACUACGUG